AACGUACGCUGGCGGCACGCCUAACACAUGCAAGUCGAACGAAGUAGCAAUACUUAGUGGCAGACGGGUGAGUAACAUGUAGGUAUCUGCCCUUUGGCCUGGAAUAACACGAGGAAACUUGUGCUAAUACCGGAUAAGUCUUUACGGAGAAAGCUUUAUGCACCAUUGGAUGAGCCUGCACUUGAUUAGUUUGUUGGUAGGGUAAUGGCCUACCAAGACUGUGAUCAAUAGCUGAUUUGAGAGGAUGAUCAGCCACAUUGGGACUGAGACACGGCCCAAACUCCUACGGGAGGCAGCAGUGGGGAAUCUUGCACAAUGGAGGAAACUCUGAUGCAGCGAUGCCGCGUGAGUGAAGAAGGCCCUUGGGUUGUAAAGCUCUUUCGUCGGGGAAGAAAAUGACUGUACCCGAAUAAGAAGGUCCGGCUAACUUCGUGCCAAAA
RNAcentral lists this ribosomal RNA (440 nucleotides) under uncultured bacterium. Its description in RNAcentral is "bacterial SSU rRNA". It matches the Rfam family "Bacterial small subunit ribosomal RNA", at positions 29 to 513 of the family's 1533-position model. The record is from RNAcentral.